Non-coding RNA from Trichonephila inaurata madagascariensis, 70 nucleotides. NCBI's taxonomy places the organism in Eukaryota, Metazoa, Arthropoda, Arachnida, Araneae, Nephilidae. The record is from the annotation of a GenBank genome assembly.
AGCAGAGUGGCGCAGUGGAAGCGUGCUGGGCCCAUAACCCAGAGGUCAGGAUCGAAACCACACUCUGCUA